Molecule: ribosomal RNA, 371 nt
Filed under: uncultured organism
Description: partial 16S ribosomal RNA
Rfam family: Bacterial small subunit ribosomal RNA
Source: RNAcentral
GUAGGUGGCAAGCGUUGUCCGGAAUUAUUGGGCGUAAAGCGCGCGCAGGCGGUUCUUUAAGUCUGAUGUGAAAGCCCACGGCUCAACCGUGGAGGGUCAUUGGAAACUGGAGAACUUGAGUACAGAAGAGGAAAGCGGAAUUCCACGUGUAGCGGUGAAAUGCGUAGAGAUGUGGAGGAACACCAGUGGCGAAGGCGGCUUUCUGGUCUGUAACUGACGCUGAGGCGCGAAAGCGUGGGGGAGCAAACAGGAUUAGAUACCCUGGUAGUCCACGCCGUAAACGAUGAGUGCUAAGUGUUAGGGGGUUUCCGCCCCUUAGUGCUGCAGCUAACGCAUUAAGCACUCCACCUGGGAGUACGGCCGCAAGGCUG